This 1425-nucleotide ribosomal RNA is filed under the name Triticum aestivum (bread wheat). RNAcentral's name for it is "partial small subunit ribosomal RNA". Lineage: Eukaryota; Viridiplantae; Streptophyta; Magnoliopsida; Poales; Poaceae. The record is from RNAcentral.
AUGGUGUACGAAACCGCCGAAGUGCACGGUGGCCAUGAGCUGGUGCUCAAAUCAGCCAUGACUACGGUGAAACCGGCACUGCCGAUGCAUGAGUACCGCCUGCCACUGUCUAACCUGGACCUGCUCCUGCCGGCGCUCGACGUCAGCGUCUUCUUCUGCUAUCGCCACCCGGCGCCCACGGCCUCAGAGCUCAAGGAGGCGCUGGCGAAGGUGCUGGUGGCCUACUACCCGCUAGCCGGGGAGGUUCUGGCCAACGCCGCAGGGGAACCGGAGCUGCUGUGCAGCGGCCGCGGCGUGGACUUCGUGGAAGCUACCGCUGACGGAUCCCAGCUGCAGGAGGUGCGGCUCGCCCUGCCGGACGAGAGCGCCGAGAAACUGGUGCCUGCCAAGAAGGCCGGCGUGAUAUCUGUUCAGGUCACCAAGUUUAAGUGCGGCGGCGCCCUCGUCGGCUGCACUUUUGACCACCGGGUCUGCGAUGCCUACUCCUUCAACAUGUUCCUCGUCGCGUGGGCUAUCGCAUCCCGCGGUGGCACCGCACCUCCGGCCCCGUUCUUCGACCGCUCCAUAGUCGCCCCACGCGACCCAUCGCCGCGCACCUAUACCACCGACGCCCUGAUCGACCGCCUGUUCUCUCCUCUGAGCUCCGUGCCGCUCCCUUCGGCCUCCGCCACUGCCACAGCUAUCAACCGCAUCUACCACGUAGCAGCCGACGACGUCGCAACACUGCAUGCCUUGGCCGGGGCAGGGCGCACGAAGCUCGAGGCAUUCACGGCCCACCUGUGGCAGCUCUGCUCCAUGGCGGCCUCCGGACACCAGCGUCUGUGCUGCAUGGGCAUGGUGGUGGACGGGCGUGCUCGCAUGUUCCCCGACGGCGCCAUGAAGGCCUACUUCGGCAACGUGGCCAUGACGCUCGCGGACGUGGCGGACGACGUGCACCGGUGGGUGCGGGAGGCCGCGACGGGCGAGCACUUCCGGGGGCUCAUCGACUGGGUGGAGGCGCUGCGGCCCAAGCCGGCAGUUGCCAGGGCGUACCUGGGCGGCACCGGCGGCUCCGAAGCGAUGGCGUGCAUCGUGUCAUCGGGAAUGGGCUUCCCGGUGGGCGAGGCCGAUUUCGGGACGGGUCUGCCGGCGUUCGCGUCAUACCACUUUCCGUGGCCCGCUGACACGGGGUACAUCAUGCCGAUGCCGAGCGCACGAGGGGACGGCGAUUGGGUUGUGUACGUGCACACGGUGCCAGAGUUGGUGAAGGUGAUGGAGGAGGGCCAUGUAAUUGUAAUGUUGCUCGAUCGGCAGCUUCAUUUGCUUAUUUGGAGUUUGUGUGCGUCGGUGGACCGUUUUGCAUUUCCAGUGCCACCAGCUACAUCGUUGGCGGCAACUUUACUUUUGAAAAUAAAUACUCUAUGCCAAGUAUAUGCAGUGCUGUAA